This 468-nucleotide ribosomal RNA is filed under the name uncultured bacterium. RNAcentral's name for it is "partial 16S ribosomal RNA". It matches the Rfam family "Bacterial small subunit ribosomal RNA", at positions 28 to 507 of the family's 1533-position model. The record is from RNAcentral.
GACGAACGCUGGCGGCGUGCUUAACACAUGCAAGUCGAACGGAAAGGCCCUGCUUUUGUGGGGUGCUCGAGUGGCGAACGGGUGAGUAACACGUGAGUGACCUGCCCUUGACUUUGGGAUAACUUCAGGAAACUGGGGCUAAUACCGGAUAGGAGCUCCUGCUGCAUGGUGGGGGUUGGAAAGUUUCGGCGGUUGGGGAUGGACUCGCGGCUUAGCAGCUUGUUGGUGGGGUAGUGGCUUACCAAGGCUUUGACGGGUAGCCGGCCUGGGAGGGUGACCGGCCACAUUGGGACUGAGGUACGGACCAGAGUCCUACGUGAGGCAGCAGUGGGGAAUAUUGCACAAUGGGCGGAAGCCUGAUGCAGCAACGCCGCGUGCGGGAUGACGGCCUUCGGGUUGUAAACCGCUUUCGCCUGUGACGAAGCGUGAGUGACGGUAAUGGGUAAAUAAGCACCGGCUAACUACGUG